GCGGAGGAAAAGAAACCAACAGGGAUUGCCUCAACGGCGAGUGAAGCGGCAAAAGCUCAAAUUUUAAAGCUGGCACCUCCGGUGUCCGCGUUGUAAUUUUGUGAGGCAUCUCCGGGUGGGGCGCCGGCCUAAGUUCCUUGGAACAGGACGUCAUAGAGGGUGAGAAUCCCGUGCUUGGCUGGCUGUCCCCGUCCAUGUGAGGUGUCUUCGACGAGUCGAGUUGUUUGGGAAUGCAGCUCAAAAUGGGUGGUAAAUUUCAUCUAAAGCUAAAUAUUGGUGGGAGACCGAUAGCGCACAAGUAGAGUGAUCGAAAGAUGAAAAGCACUUUGAAAAUAGAGUUAAAAAGUACGUGAAAUUGUUGAAAGGGAAGCGCUUGAGACCAGACUUCGGUGGGGAGUGAUCAGCCGUCCUUCUGGGCGGUGCACUUGCCCCCCUCCGGGCCAGCAUCGGUUGGGACGGCGGGAUAAAGGUCCCGGGAAUGUGGCUCCUCUCGGGGAGUGUUAUAGCCCGGGUGAAUGCCGCCAGCCCCGACCGAGGACCGCGCCUUCGGGCUAGGA
RNAcentral lists this ribosomal RNA (557 nucleotides) under Morchella americana. RNAcentral's name for it is "eukaryotic LSU rRNA". It matches the Rfam family "Eukaryotic large subunit ribosomal RNA", at positions 50 to 612 of the family's 3401-position model. Lineage: Eukaryota; Fungi; Ascomycota; Pezizomycetes; Pezizales; Morchellaceae. The record is from RNAcentral.